Triticum dicoccoides is the source of this 346-nucleotide long non-coding RNA. RefSeq lists it as uncharacterized. The record is from RefSeq and is a predicted model, not a curated record. The transcript has 3 exons. Lineage: Eukaryota; Viridiplantae; Streptophyta; Magnoliopsida; Poales; Poaceae.
AAGAAAACAGGAAUGUAAAACUCUGAGUUGCAGAAUGACAAGACAAUCACAGAACAGUAGUAGUUGGUUUUCAGGUGAAUGACUAUGCAGGUUAACAGCACCAUGCACUGCAUUAUAUCAUGAAGGGCAAAGAGGAUUCUAUGAGUACAAAACAAAUCAGUAGCCAUUCCUGAAACAGUCAGAUAGAAAGGUCAGACUCGUCACCAAUAUUGUCUGCAUGAGAUAGAGGGAAAUCGGCCGAUGCUGGAUGCUGGGCCAAUACAGCAUCGCGAAAUCAAACAUAGAGCAGCAAUUCACAUGAAGAUUCACUCACCUGAAAAUCGGCGACUCAUGCUGCGGCUGCCUA